CUAAUAUAUAGUAGGAUACAGAAUAUUUAAGUAUGUAAUAUGUAGGUAAUUAAAUUUAGUAGAUAUAAAAUGUCUUUUUCACAUUUUGUUUUGUUUUUUUAUUAAUUGUAUAAUAAUUUUUAAAUAUUAAUUUUUAUUUGUUUAUUGUAAUUUUACUAUUAAUAUGUUUUAUGAUUCAAUAAAUAUUUUCUCAAGUGUUUCUCAAAUGUGAUUAAAAUAUACCAUCCUAUUGGAUUAUAUAAUAUAAUUCUAAAUUGAUGCACAUUAAAUGUUUAAAAAAUACUUAUAUACACUAUAAAUAGUGUCCCAUGAAAAUAUACCCAAUACAAUAUUUCUAGGGAUAAUAAAAAUUAAAAAAAAAAAAUUUAUUAAUUAAAUUUUAUGUUUUUGAAUAAAAAGAAAUAUAUAAAAGAAGUUAAUAUAAUUUGUUUUUUUGAAAAAUUUGAAGAUUGCCAUUUUAUAGUUUAUAAUUAUGAAAAUUUUGAUGUUCAAAUUUUUAUUUUCAUUAAAUUUGUGAUAUUUGGUAAUUUUUUAAAGUAUAUAGAAAAAACCACUGUUCAGUCAAUUAGCCAUAGUAAUAAUUAAUUAGCAAAUGAGAUCUGUCACAGUCUGUUGCGUAACUAUAGGUAAUUUGGAAAAAUGAUUAAUAUAAUAUACUGAUUUUAUUAUUUUAGCUUACUAAGUAUUAGUAUUUAUAAUACUGUACUUUAUUUUCAUAUUAAAAUGAAUGUAUCUUUGUGGAACACUCUGUACAUAUUAUCAUAGUUAUACAAUUAUCAGAUGGC
Cinara cedri is the source of this 785-nucleotide non-coding RNA. Lineage: Eukaryota; Metazoa; Arthropoda; Insecta; Hemiptera; Aphididae. The record is from the annotation of a GenBank genome assembly.